AUGCAAGUCGCACGAGAACGCUUCAGCUUGCUGAAGUUAGUAAAGUGGCGCACGGGUGAGUAACGCGUGGGUAAUCUACCCCCCGAAUUGGGGAUAACAUCGCGAAAGCGAUGCUAAUACCGAAUGAUAUCUUGAAAACUCUGUUUUCUGGAUCAAAGAUGGCCUCUACAUGUAAGCUAUUGUUUGGGGAUGAGCCCGCGUACCAUUAGCUUGUUGGUAGGGUAAUGGCCUACCAAGGCAACGAUGGUUAGCUGGUCUGAGAGGAUGAUCAGCCACACUGGAACUGACACACGGUCCAGACUCCUACGGGAGGCAGCAGUGAGGAAUUUUGCGCAAUGGGGGAAACCCUGACGCAGCAACGCCGCGUGAGUGAUGAAGGCUUUCGGGUCGUAAAGCUCUGUCAAGUGGGAAGAAACCAUAUGGUGUUAAUAUCGCCAUAUGCUGACGGUACCAUUGAAGGAAGCACCGGCUAACUCCGUGCCAGCAGCCGCGGUAAUACG
This 500-nucleotide ribosomal RNA is filed under the name uncultured bacterium. RNAcentral describes it as "bacterial SSU rRNA". It matches the Rfam family "Bacterial small subunit ribosomal RNA", at positions 55 to 527 of the family's 1533-position model. The record is from RNAcentral.